Long non-coding RNA from Panicum virgatum (switchgrass), 703 nucleotides. RefSeq lists it as uncharacterized. The record is from RefSeq and is a predicted model, not a curated record. The transcript has 2 exons. Lineage: Eukaryota; Viridiplantae; Streptophyta; Magnoliopsida; Poales; Poaceae.
GAAGCGAGCAGGAGCACCGUCGCCCUCUUCCUCGCACGCCGCCGCCGCCGUGCCCUCGCCCUCGCCUGGCUCCCGCCGGCCGCUUGCAGGACAUCGCGUCCCUUCGCGCUCCGGACGGCAUCCUCCACCACGCCGCCUCCACGUCGCCCUUGCCCUCUCCCCGGCGCCGCCUCCGCCGCACCGCGCCCUCGCCUGCGUCGGUGCCCUGGCCCUCGCCCGCCGAACCCUUGCCCUCCUCCGUGCCGGUUACCCCCGCCUGUCCGCCGCCGCCUCUGUCUCGCCGCCGGCCGCCUGCCUCGUCGCCCUAGGGGCUCGUCACCCCCCUCCCCGUGCAGGCCGGCUCACCUGCCGCGCAGCGCACAGGCUGUAGGGGUGCCGCCGCGCUACGCAGGCUGCAGGCGCAGGCCGCCCUGGGGGCAGGGGUGCACGCCCAAUAUGCAACGAGCAAGAGCCAAGAAGCAGCCAGCCAGCCUGCAGUGAACCAAGAGUGCUGGUUCAUAGAGUCCAAGACAACAUUCCUUGGAUUGUUGAAGUGCUGGUUUUCUACAAAUGGAUCACGAGUAUGUUAGUUGUUGGAGAUAUCGUUGGUGUUAUUAUACUAUUGUUGGAGCAUAAUAUAGUAUCAUUUCAUUACAGCAAUUUCAAAUCACGGAACAAUGGCAGUAUCAUCAUUCGUCUAGCCCAGCAUUUUUUAUGAGUAAAA